ACGCUGGCGGCGUGCCUAAUACAUGCAAGUCGAGCGAAUGGAUUGAGAGCUUGCUCUCAAGAAGUUAGCGGCGGACGGGUGAGUAACACGUGGGUAACCUGCCCAUAAGACUGGGAUAACUCCGGGAAACCGGGGCUAAUACCGGAUAACAUUUUGAACUGCAUGGUUCGAAAUUGAAAGGCGGCUUCGGCUGUCACUUAUGGAUGGACCCGCGUCGCAUUAGCUAGUUGGUGAGGUAACGGCUCACCAAGGCAACGAUGCGUAGCCGACCUGAGAGGGUGAUCGGCCACACUGGGACUGAGACACGGCCCAGACUCCUACGGGAGGCAGCAGUAGGGAAUCUUCCGCAAUGGACGAAAGUCUGACGGAGCAACGCCGCGUGAGUGAUGAAGGCUUUCGGGUCGUAAAACUCUGUUGUUAGGGAAGAACAAGUGCUAGUUGAAUAAGCUGGCACCUUGACGGUACCUAACCAGAAAGCCACGGCUAACUACGUGCCAGCAGCCGCGGUAAUACGUAGGUGGCAAGCGUUAUCCGGAAUUAUUGGGCGUAAAGCGCGCGCAGGUGGUUUCUUAAGUCUGAUGUGAAAGCCCACGGCUCAACCGUGGAGGGUCAUUGGAAACUGGGAGACUUGAGUGCAGAAGAGGAAAGUGGAAUUCCAUGUGUAGCGGUGAAAUGCGUAGAGAUAUGGAGGAACACCAGUGGCGAAGGCGACUUUCUGGUCUGUAACUGACACUGAGGCGCGAAAGCGUGGGGGAGCAAACAGGAUUAGAUACCCUGGUAGUUCCACGCCGUAAACGAUGAGUGCUAAGUGUUAGAGGGUUUCCGCCCUUUAGUGCUGAAGUUAACGCAUUAAGCACUCCGCCUGGGGAGUUCGG
RNAcentral lists this ribosomal RNA (875 nucleotides) under uncultured Bacillus sp. Its description in RNAcentral is "bacterial SSU rRNA". It matches the Rfam family "Bacterial small subunit ribosomal RNA", at positions 33 to 885 of the family's 1533-position model. Lineage: Bacteria; Bacillati; Bacillota; Bacilli; Caryophanales; Bacillaceae. The record is from RNAcentral.